AUGCGACGACAUCCAAGAAACGCUUGCGAAUGAGUGCUGGACCCUUCUCAGCCAGGUGUAUGUCAGGAAUAUCUCUGCCGGAAGUUCUUUGCUGAAGGUCACUGUGGACUUCUGCGCGGUUGACCUGUGCGCCAUGACGCUGAGCCAAGCCACCGAAGGAGGUGGACGCCUGGAAGGGCAUAAUGGCCGGCAUGCUGAAGGACACAGUCGGAGUCAUCGUCAACACCCUCGGCUCAAACUCUACGUCCACGUUAACGAACACUUCUAUUAGUGCUAUUAGGGACUAACGAUGGCGAAAACCCGACCGCCGACCUCAACAUCCGGAGAUCAUUCGCCAGACCUUUGAUACUUAAUCGGGACUAAUUUGCAUGUGGGUAAUUUCACCUUCAAAUUUAAACAUUAAUGAUCCCUAAUUCUUUGAGUUUAACAAUUACAUUUGGUCAUUUGGCAGUUUUGUGGAAAGGGGUAUUAGCACUAUCUUAUACUGGCAAGAGCUUAAAAAAUAACAGUAAUUACUGAUUGAUUCAUAUUAACAGUGUGACUAUAAUUCGGAACAUAUAUAUAAUAUUUUAAGAAAUACUUUUCAGAGUGUAUUUUUGUUCAGUAAGCAAAAUUGUUAUGUUGAAUAUUUAAUGUUUCCUUUAUUGUCUUAUUAUGCCCAUUAAAUUCUUUGUUUAAGAUCUUUGAUACUGAUUGAGAGAGAUAUGAAGUUUCCCUUCCCGUGUGCAUUUGUGAGAACUAAAAAUACAGUUAUCAAAUUCG
Penaeus monodon (black tiger shrimp) is the source of this 762-nucleotide long non-coding RNA. RefSeq lists it as uncharacterized. NCBI's taxonomy places the organism in Eukaryota, Metazoa, Arthropoda, Malacostraca, Decapoda, Penaeidae. The record is from RefSeq and is a predicted model, not a curated record. The transcript is spliced from 4 exons.